Molecule: long non-coding RNA, 305 nt
Organism: Bombus impatiens (common eastern bumble bee)
Lineage: Eukaryota; Metazoa; Arthropoda; Insecta; Hymenoptera; Apidae
Exons: 2
Source: RefSeq, a predicted model, not a curated record
CACUGAUUUACUCUGAACUUUUUAUUCUACUGACCACCUUUAUAAAGCUUAUCUGAUAAAAAUAGUUGUUAUCAUAGUGACUAAUCACAUAUCAGAUAUUGCAUCCAUUGUAGAUGUAUUUAUUUACAUAUAAAGAAUAAAGAGAUAACUACAACGGCCAUUAGAUAUAUACAAUGUACAAAGUAUACUUUAUUAAGUAAAUAUUUGUAAUUUAUUACAAUGAUUAAUACAUAUUUACACUUUUGAAGGAUGUAAUGAUUUUUAGUUAACAAUGUUAUGAGAGUAAGUAAAAAUCAGCCAUUAUA